Long non-coding RNA from Stegostoma tigrinum, 483 nucleotides. RefSeq lists it as uncharacterized. The record is from RefSeq and is a predicted model, not a curated record. The transcript has 3 exons. NCBI's taxonomy places the organism in Eukaryota, Metazoa, Chordata, Chondrichthyes, Orectolobiformes, Stegostomatidae.
CGGCCCGGUUCAGGUCCGCCCCCUUUACAUUCCGUACAGGUCUCCGCAAAGCAACACUCUGACUCCGAGGCUUUGGUAGCAUAAGGGUCCUGGUCGAGUUUCUGCUUCCUGUGGGGGCAACGUGGGCCGUGGUAACGGGCAAUGGUUUUGUCCUGUUAGCUGUGUCAGUGACAUCACAUUGGUUUGGUUGCUGCAUCACACAGAUAUGUGAAUCACAAACAUCCCUUUGGGCAGAGUGUGCGCUGCCAUUCCUUUCCCUGGAUUAGGAAAGGAUGAAGAUGCAAAAUUUUGGCGAUAAUGGGUGUCAAUUUAUCAGACAGAUAAGAGAGCCUUUAGUAGCAGAGACAAGGAACAGUCAGGUACAAAUCGGAGUCAUCCCUCAAGAUGAAUUGACAUGCAUGGUGUUACCUCACUCAAAUUCCUGCACCCAACAAGAAGCUUGCCAGACUGCCAACGCAGCAGCAAACAUGAUGCCUGAACUAA